CCUACGGGUGGCUGCAGUGAGGAAUAUUGGUCAAUGGACGCAAGUCUGAACCAGCCAUGCCGCGUGCAGGAAGACGGCUCUAUGAGUUGUAAACUUCUUUUGUACGAGGGUAAAUCCCGAUACGUGUAUCGGGUUGAAAGUAUCUUACGAAUAAGGAUCGGCUAACUCCGUGCCAGCAGCCGCGGUAAUACGGAGGAUUCAAGCGUUAUCCGGAUUUAUGGGGUUUAAAGGGUGCGUAGGCGGUUUGUUAAGUUAGUGGUGAAAUCCCGGGGCUCAACUCUGGCACUGCAUCUGAUACUGGCAGGCUAGAGUUUAGUUGCGGUAGGCGGAAUGCAUGGUGUAGCGGUGAAAUGCAUAGAGAUCAUACAGAACACCGAUUGCGAAGGCAGCUUACCAAACUACGACUGACGUUGAGGCACGAAAGCGUGGGGAGCAAACAGGAUUAGAUACCCGGGUAGUC
This 460-nucleotide ribosomal RNA is filed under the name uncultured bacterium. RNAcentral's name for it is "partial 16S ribosomal RNA". It matches the Rfam family "Bacterial small subunit ribosomal RNA", at positions 338 to 795 of the family's 1533-position model. The record is from RNAcentral.